AGUGACGAUAGCCUAGGAGAUACACCUGUACCCAUGCCGAACACAGCAGUUAAGCCCUAGAACGCCUGAUGUAGUUGGGGGUUGCCCCCU
RNAcentral lists this ribosomal RNA (90 nucleotides) under Streptococcus pyogenes. The record is from RNAcentral. Lineage: Bacteria; Bacillati; Bacillota; Bacilli; Lactobacillales; Streptococcaceae.